AAUCGGGUAGUCCACGCCGUAAACGAUGAGUGCUAAGUGUUAGGGGGUUUCCACCCCUUAGUGCUGCAGCUAACGCAUUAAGCACUCCGCCUGGGGAGUACGGUCGCAAGACUGAAACUCAAAGGAAUUGACGGGGGCCCGCACAAGCGGUGGAGCAUGUGGUUUAAUUCGAAGCAACGCGAAGAACCUUACCAGGUCUUGACAUCCCGCUGACCGCUAUGGAGACAUAGCCUUCCCUUCGGGGACAGCGGUGACAGGUGGUGCAUGGUUGUCGUCAGCUCGUGUCGUGAGAUGUUGGGUUAAGUCCCGCAACGAGCGCAACCCUUGUCCUUAGUUGCCCAUCAUUUCAGUUGGGCACUCUAAGGAGACUGCCGUACAAAUACGGAGGAAGGUGGGGAUGACGUCAAAUCAUCAUGCCCCUUAUGACCUGGGCUACACACGUGCUACAAUGGACGGUACAAACGGUCGCGAAGUCGCGAGACGGAGCCAAUCCGAAAAAACCGUUCUCAGUUCGGAUUGCAGGCUGCAACUCG
This 533-nucleotide ribosomal RNA is filed under the name uncultured bacterium. Its description in RNAcentral is "bacterial SSU rRNA". It matches the Rfam family "Bacterial small subunit ribosomal RNA", at positions 784 to 1314 of the family's 1533-position model. The record is from RNAcentral.